This 72-nucleotide ribosomal RNA is filed under the name Pseudoalteromonas sp. SG45-5. Its description in RNAcentral is "partial 23S ribosomal RNA". Lineage: Bacteria; Pseudomonadati; Pseudomonadota; Gammaproteobacteria; Alteromonadales; Pseudoalteromonadaceae. The record is from RNAcentral. RNAcentral also lists the same sequence under 3 other names.
AGUGGUGUGAGCCAUUAAGCUAACUUGUACUAAUUACCCGUGAGGCUUAACCAUACAACGCCAAACGCGUUU